CUAUAUCCCUAACACCUGUGAAC
RNAcentral lists this ribosomal RNA (23 nucleotides) under Vanrija musci. Its description in RNAcentral is "partial 18S ribosomal RNA". Lineage: Eukaryota; Fungi; Basidiomycota; Tremellomycetes; Trichosporonales; Trichosporonaceae. The record is from RNAcentral.